GACGAACGCUGGCGGCGCGCCUAACACAUGCAAGUCGAACGGAGUUUAAAGAGCUUGCUUUUUAAACUUAGUGGCGGACGGGUGAGUAACACGUGAGUAACCUACCUUUCAAAGGGGGAUAACGUCUGGAAACGGACGCUAAUACCGCAUAAUACUAUUUGAGGGCAUCCUUGGAUAGUCAAAGGAGAAAUCCGAUGGGAGAUGGACUCGCGGCUGAUUAGAUAGUUGGCGGGGUAGAGGCCCACCAAGUCGACGAUCAGUAGCCGGACUGAGAGGUUGAACGGCCACAUUGGGACUGAGACACGGCCCAG
Molecule: ribosomal RNA, 311 nt
Filed under: uncultured bacterium
Lineage: Bacteria
Description: bacterial SSU rRNA
Rfam family: Bacterial small subunit ribosomal RNA
Source: RNAcentral